AACAUAUAUAUCAAAUGUAUAAUACAUAAUAUGUGCCCAAUAAUUUUACUGAUCCACAACACAUAACUUAUAUGCAAAGUUGCAUAACAAAUUUCAUGAUCCAUAUAUCAAAGUUCCAUAGCAUCCAUACAUCCAAAAUUCCAUAGAAUCCAUAUAUACAUAUAGUUACAUAGCAUCCAUACAUACAUAGCUCCAUAGCAAAUAUAAUACACAAGAUACAUUGCGGGCAUUAGUACAUAAUAUUUGGCACUACAACAAAUGCCUUCAUGUCCAUAUCGUAGUCCAAAGAGCAUCCACAUGGUAACCUACAAGAUGAAAUCAUCAACAUGUCAAAUUUAACACUCUAAAUCAUAAAGAUCUUCAAGAAUGGUCUCUAAUUAUAAAUUUGAUCUUAAAAUGGGUCAAAUGAUCUUUACUUACAUGUUUUGAGCAACAGUGCUAGUGAUGCAGAGGCGAAAAGAGCAACCUCUAGCAAAUUACAACACUUGAAAAGCAUAGAGAUUUCUAUCGAUAAAUAGAUAGGAGUAGAGAAAGAAGCACCUCUGAACGGUACACUCAUUGCUUGUCUACUUUUAUCUGAUGGAGUGUGCAGCAAGAUCAACCAUUUUCUUCAAACUCCUCCAUGCAACACCUACUAUUAAAUGUAAUGUAACAAUCAGAUGCAACUAAAGAGUAGAUACAAAAGUAAUUUAAGCAAUUUAAAAACUUAAUUAGCACAUGUGUGCGCCCAUCAAAAGUGCAUUCACAUAUGUACAGUCUAGUAAUAUAUAACGCUGCUCGUUCACAUUGAUUUGUACGGCUUCGGUACAGCCACGUCAUCGAAUAUCAAGGAACUAGCGAACAACUACUUGCACAAAGAGAUGAUCACUACUGAUCAUGCUUGUUAACAAGUUCACUCUUCCUGAUGCUCAAGUCCUAUGCACGCUCAAGUCCUACAAAAACGUUCAGCUGUGGACCAUGAGAACAGCAGUACAAAAGAGAGUUCACUUUUUUAGCUUACAGUAUAUGACAAAAUUAAUAUCUUGUUCAAUGGCAUCAACCUAAAAGUGCUACCAAAUCUAUGGUGAAAUGAAUAGAACAAUAAACUAAUGAUUUCAUAUUUUAGAACGCAAGUCACCAUUUUUUCACUUCAGUACUUCGCAUCAAAAGAUAAUCAUUUCGAGUGAUGGCUACAAUUGCAAACUUUCCUUUACUAAGCCCGUACAAGCACUAAUUAGUGUGCCGCGUUUGGAAGUAAAGCAGAAUAUAGGCAUAGUAAAUGAGCUACAAACAGAGAGCUCAAACCCAUGACCAGUCCCAACAAUUAAAGGAAAAUUACAAAUGUCAAAAGGAAGUAAGGAACGCAAUCCUGAAAUUCAUCCACACUCAGCUGAUGCCUCCCUCCCUCCCUCUCUCUCCCUUUCUCUCCCCCUCUCUCUCCCCCUC
Molecule: long non-coding RNA, 1425 nt
Filed under: Hordeum vulgare
Lineage: Eukaryota; Viridiplantae; Streptophyta; Magnoliopsida; Poales; Poaceae
Description: long non-coding RNA (HVUL_LNC003598)
Source: RNAcentral